This 385-nucleotide ribosomal RNA is filed under the name uncultured bacterium. RNAcentral describes it as "bacterial SSU rRNA". It matches the Rfam family "Bacterial small subunit ribosomal RNA", at positions 30 to 417 of the family's 1533-position model. The record is from RNAcentral.
AUUGAACGCUGGCGGCAUGCCCUACACAUGCAAGUCGAACGGCAGCGGACCUUCGGGUGCCGGCGAGUGGCGAACGGGUGAGUAAUAUAUCGGAACGUACCUUUCAGUGGGGGAUAACGUAGCGAAAGUUACGCUAAUACCGCAUAUUCUGUGAGCAGGAAAGCAGGGGAUCGCAAGACCUUGCGCUGAUUGAGCGGCCGAUAUCAGAUUAGCUAGUUGGUGAGGUAAAGGCUCACCAAGGCGACGAUCUGUAGCGGGUCUGAGAGGAUGAUCCGCCACACUGGAACUGAGACACGGUCCAGACUCCUACGGGAGGCAGCAGUGGGGAAUUUUGGACAAUGGGCGCAAGCCUGAUCCAGCCAUGCCGCGUGAGUGAAGAAGGCCU